GCAGGGCGUAGUAGCGGGCGCCUGUAGUCCCAGCUACUGGGCAGGCUGAGGCAGGAGAAUGGCCUGAACCCGGGAGGCAGAGCUUGCAGUGAGCUGAGAUCACGCCACUGCACUCCAGCCUGGGGAACACAGUGAGACUCCGUCUCCAAAAAAAAAAAAAAAAGGGAGUUUCGUUCUUGUUGCCCGGCCUGGAGUGCAAUGGCGUGAUCUCAGCUCACUGCAACCUCCGCCUCCUGGGUUCAAGUGAUUCUCCUGCCUCA
RNAcentral lists this small RNA (260 nucleotides) under Pan troglodytes (chimpanzee). Its description in RNAcentral is "Metazoan signal recognition particle RNA (ENSPTRG00000043906.1)". The record is from RNAcentral. Lineage: Eukaryota; Metazoa; Chordata; Mammalia; Primates; Hominidae.